GGUUCAUUGAUGCAUGCACGCCUUAGGAAAUUGGAUUGUGUAUGGAGAAGUGGCAAGUGGCCCUUCAGGCUUCAGAUCCUGCAAAGAAGAAAUGAUUAUUGAGUGUCUGCUGCUUCCAGGACAUGCUUGAUUGAGCGCUUUUUCAGCAACUUGGAUAUCAUAUCUAAAUUUACCAAGAUAGUAAAAAUCUCUCUUCACACAUGAGUAUCGAAAAAAACUACCUACAGGCUACAGCUAAUGACCACUUCUUAAAUUUACAUAAUUCUCCAUGUACUGCUUCUAGGUGGGCCCAAGAAGAAACCACCUACAGCUAAUAAUCUUCUUGAUCUUGACCAACGAUAAUGGAAUCUCUGGUGAACGUGAUGAGAGAUGCUUUUAUAGAUGUGAAAACAUGUUCUUUGCAAUAAGAGAGGCACGGGGAUUCAUUGUGUAUUAAUCUUUUUGGAGGUUUGAUCAUGAAAAAUCAGUGAAGUUUAAUUAGUGUUUUGUGUAUUAAUCUUUUUGGAGGUUUGAUCAUGAAAAAUUAGUGUUUUAACGAUUGGGCAGUGUUGAUAUUCUACUUCCCUUCUUAAUAUCUGAUAUUACACUUACGUAAAUCUAGAAUCUUGCAUUUGUGAUUGAACCAAACAACAACGUGUGCGUAUGUUAGUGCAGAAGCUGCUAUAGUACGACAUAGCCGGGAGCAACCAAUUAAACUGAGCUGCGAGAAGAUCAUUGUCAUCCUUCUGUUGAGGACAUUGAUGCUUGUGUCCCGUUGUUGCCCUAUUAUGCUUCACUGAAUAACAGUUCAAAUUAGCAUGGCUGCUAUCAAAUUUAAUUCAGUUUGAUGGCUCAUUUAAUUUUGUUUGAUGAUUAACUAUCAAAUUUGAUUCACGCUCAAAGAAAUCAACCCGUCCGAUCGUGGGCCUUCAUCCUAGAGCAGCUGCUCCUUGAGAAAAAUGCAAGAUUUCUGGUUUAUCAGGCCGUUUGGACCAAGCUGGCCUGUUACUGGAGCCGUGUUGAGCUGUUGCUGGUCGCUUGGAGAUCUCCGGUGCCCACGGAGAUGUGCCGAUCAGAGGAACUAAAACCAAUCUAUCAAAGCGGGAGCUCGGUUAGUAAAAAAAAAGCAGAAACGUUGGUCCCUUGGGCUAAUCGACCUAAACUAUACUGCACCUCGGUCGAUCAAAAAGGAAAUAACUAAGCCGAAGCUCCGUUCAACAGAAACGCAGUCGUCACCGAUUGAUAUGGCGAGUAUCGGUAGAGGAUCUGAAGGGGAGAUGUCAUGGGCAAUUGAAUUCAUUAGUUUGCUUUCAAUCAACAAAUCACUUGCUCACUAUCAAUUCCAGUUGGGUGCCGCUCACCGGUGGUCGACAAGGAGGUGAUUUACACUGGACGAAAGUAUCUAUCUACAUCAGCAAGAUGUUUCAGUUAAGGGAAAAAGUUCACUGCACAAUAUCAAAUGAUUCUCCAUUUCUCCUACUAGAAAGAUAUUUAAAUUUAUGGACAAGAUAGCCAAAUAACUAGAUCAUGUUGAAUUUGAAGAUCAAACACAUUGUCAAUAGAGUACUUUGACAGAUCCUUGGCUGCAUAUAAGAAAAAUGUAGAAAGUCAGAAAAAUUUGUUGAAAAUGGAAAUUUUAUUAGUUCCUCCUAUCCAUGUUACUUGUCACAA
Long non-coding RNA from Brachypodium distachyon (stiff brome), 1650 nucleotides. RefSeq lists it as uncharacterized. Lineage: Eukaryota; Viridiplantae; Streptophyta; Magnoliopsida; Poales; Poaceae. The record is from RefSeq and is a predicted model, not a curated record. The transcript has 5 exons.